CUGUGUCCUUCGACGCCGGUUCACCGCCUGUCGGUGCCAACUGGCGUUUUGCGGGACGUCCUGUCGGUGGUGUGUCAGGAAUCUUAGUUGUGCUAUGCUCUGCUUAGUGCAGCUCUGGUUUCGGGCCACUUUCAUAAUCCCGCCGCGGUGCUCUUAAUCGAGUGUCGAGGCGGGCCGGCACGUUUACUUUGAACAAAUUAGAGUGCUUCAAGCAGGCUUGUCACGCCUGUAUACUGUGUGCAUGGAAUAAUGGAAUAGGACCUCGGUUCUAUUUUGUUGGUUUCCGGAAUCUGAGGUAAUGAUCAAUGGGGACAGGCGGGGGCAUUCGUAUUGCGACGUUAGAGGUGAAAUUCUUGGAUCGUCGCAAGACGGACCGAAGCGAAAGCAUUUGCCAAGUAUGUUCCCGUCGAUCAAGAACGAAAGUUAGAGGUUCGAAGGCGAUCAGAUACCGCCCUAGUUCUAACCAUAAACAAUGCCUGCCAGCGAUCCGCCGGCGUCCCUCCGAUGACCCGGCGGGCAGCUUCCGGGAAACCAGAGCUUUUGGGUUCCGGGGGAAGUAUGGUUGCAAAGCUGAAACUUAAAGGAAUUGACGGAAGGGCACCACCAGGAGUGGAGCCUGCGGCUUAAUUUGACUCAACACGGGAAAACUCACCAGGCCCGGACACUGGAAGGAUUGACAGAUUGAUAGCUCUUUCUUGAUUCAGUGGGUGGUGGUGCAUGGCCGUUCUUAGUUGGUGGAGCGAUUUGUCUGGUUAAUUCCGAUAACGAACGAGACUCUAGCCUACUAACUAGACGUAUCUGGUAUCAGCAAUCGUGCUACCAGCGAUCAUAUCUCUUCUUAGAGGGACAGGCGGCUUCUAGCCGCACGAGACUGAGCAAUAACAGGUCUGUGAUGCCCUUAGAUGUCCUGGGCCGCACGCGCGCUACACUGAAGGAAUCAGCGUGUCUUCCCUGUCCGAAAGGACCGGGUAACCCGCUGAACCUCCUUCGUGCUUGGGAUUGGGGCUUGCAAUUGUUCCCCAUGAACGAGGAAUUCCCAGUAAGCGCGAGUCAUAAGCUCGCGUUGAUUACGUCCCUGCCCUUUGUACACACCGCCCGUCGCUACUACCGAUUGAAUGAUUUAGUGAGGUCUUCGGACCGGUGCGCGGAGGCGGUUUUCCGCUCCCGAUGUUGUCGGAAAGAUGACCAAACUUGAUCAUU
Molecule: ribosomal RNA, 1200 nt
Filed under: Delphacodes campestris
Lineage: Eukaryota; Metazoa; Arthropoda; Insecta; Hemiptera; Delphacidae
Description: SSU rRNA
Rfam family: Eukaryotic small subunit ribosomal RNA
Source: RNAcentral